UGCCAGCCUCCUCCCUUCCAUCCCAACCCCUUUCCCUCUGCCUUCGUGGCAGCCUCCCCGCACGGCUCCAUCUGCUCUCAUGACAGUGAUAACAAGAUCCUAGCACUAGGCCAUCUGAAGGCUCUCUGUUCAUCCUCACAGGAGGCUCAAACCCGUGGAACGAGGGGUCGGAAGCGGGCGGCUCUGCGGCACUGGUUGGGGAGACUCCCGGCUGCGCGCACCGAGAGCCUAGGCACGCGCGGUGCUGCAAGAGGAGGCAAAGCGGGUACGAUUUCGCUGGAGGAGGGAGGACGCGCGCACGGAACUGUGCGCCCGCGCGGGGUUCAAUCCUCCUAGGAAGGCCUUGGGGCGCCCUCCCUUGGGCGCUAGGAUCCCACCUUAGGGCGACGGGACUGAGGCGUGGGCCGCGCUGGUGGGGCUCCCGGAAAGGCACCGGCAGUUCUGCGAGUCCAAGGCUUGAGGCUCAUUGAUUUUUUUCUUUUCAGUAGCAGAAUUAAUACAGUCAAGCCCGUCGGUCAGUCACAGUUAAAUUGAUUCCUUGCCCAAAACACCUCUCACUAAAUGGCACACGCUUCAACAUGUUAAUUUUUAAAACGUAA
Macaca mulatta (Rhesus monkey) is the source of this 599-nucleotide non-coding RNA. The record is from RefSeq and is a predicted model, not a curated record. NCBI's taxonomy places the organism in Eukaryota, Metazoa, Chordata, Mammalia, Primates, Cercopithecidae.